CAUGACUGAAGUGCUUAAGACUAGAAAACAUUCAUUUCUAAUAAGUCUGUUUAAAGCUUUAAAAUUUUGAUGCACUAUCUUUUUACAUUCUCCAUUUUUUCAGUUUACAUAAUUAGUUAUUGUAACUUUCUGUGCAUGUAUAAAUUAAAACAUCUUGAAAUUAUUUGCUACUUACACUGGUGAUAACUGUAAUUUUCAGUGUAUAUCAGAUAUAGAGUCAAUGUCUACAAAUAAUGUCAUAAAUGUAUUAUAUCUCUUUAAUCAAUGAGGAAAAUGAGCAGUAGAAUAGAAUAGUACACACCCUGCAGCUAUGCAGCUAGGGCUUUACACUUAAAAUCCCAGUGCUUUAACUUACACCAAACUGCCUGGAGUAAAAAGUAAUGCUCUCUUUAUUUCAGAUGUUUUUCCCUGCAAGCAAUGAUUUUAAGAGAACAUUUUGACACACUGGUUAUCUCCAUGGCCCUUGGCAUUACAUAACCUGAACUUCCAUCCUGGUUUGCAACUUGUUUUCAGGGAGUCCUUAUUUGGCUCCCUUGAGCUUCAUUAUCUUCCUAUGAGAAAUGUGGGUGAUAGAUGCUUUGAAGCUAUGGGAGGGUUAAAUGCAGUUGGGAAUAUGACGUACCUAUCACAUUGCUUGGUGUGUAGUGGGGGCUAGGUCCAAGGGGACUUGUUAUCUUAAGUUGGCCUUUCAGAUUGUUUUCAAAGUGGGUUAAUACACCUUAAUGAACAAAUUUUACUCAGUACCCAUUCAAUUAAGAUCAUCUAGUUACUGUUACUUAGAAUGUAUUAUCCAGACAGAUUCAGACUGUCUACCUGGAGUGAACUGGAAUCUCUGAGAGGACAGUCAGAGACUGCAUGCAUUGUUCAAGGGUUCUUCUAUCCAGAAAGUCAAAAGCCACUCAGAUCCAGUGACUUUGCACAACAUUAUUGUCAGCACUGUUCUAAAAUUUCUAAUAUUUCCUCUCCCCGAAAGAUGUGCUUUCUGAAAAGAAUGAGCUGAGACCAGGUACACAGGUCUACCAGCAUUACAAGAGGGCCCCGGAUGCAUCAAAACUAUUACUACUGCUAGAAAUGUGGAAAGUCAGACAGGUUUUGUAUCUCCAUUUAAAAAUGCACCUACAAUGUCACACAGUGAUGUGUGAACAAACACCUACAUUUUGAUACAGUGACUUAUUUACCAUCCGAUGAUCAUUAUUCUGAGGAGGGUAUGAAGUGGCAUAUUGAAGAGCUGUGAGGCAGAGACAGACUGUACAUGCUGCUCUGUGUCAGUGUUAGUUUCCACUUUCCUAGAAGGAAUUUCUCAGUUUUUGGAUGUGUGUGUGUCUUGGGGAGCAUUCCUGCCUCUGUUUCAAGACCAUGUGGUUUGUGUGGGCAUAGUCUCACAACCAAGAGAAAGGAAGGAAACCAUAGACAAAAUAAAUUAUCCUAAGAAGGGUAUUGCUUGGCUUUAGCACAUUAAGGCCUAAUUCACACAUUUUAUUAAACUAUUUGGAGAAGAUGCAAAGCUCUGUUUCCAGUAAAGUUGCCAAGCUUUUAAGAAAUUAGUCUUAGAUGAUACAACAGAAUGUGGCGUGGAAUUAAGCUGACACGGGGUAAAUCAGAGCCAAGAGAUGGAGGGAGAUGCAUUCUAUCCUUUCAGUUCUAGAUGGCAUCACACCAGAGCUAUUUACCAGAGAAUAAUUAGGUUAUAUGAGUUAGCAAAUAUCCUUUUUUAAAAACAAACUUAAGUCCAGCUUUUAUCAUUGCAACCCACAGAAAUGCAAGUAUUUGUGAAAUAUGUUGGUGAAAGAGAGUGAUGAAAGAGUUAAGUGUGAGGACAAUGAAAAAGACACAGGCUCAAGAACCUUGAUCUGAGAAGUGGCUUUGGUUGUCAGCCCAUGGGAUUCUAAGAGUAUAAGCAGAUGAGAAACCUUGUGCCAAGAAAUGAGGGUCUGUGAUUGCUAACCCUCUGACAUGAUUCCCAGAGUGUUCUUUCCAGCUCAUGUCAACAAGAGUUGGCCAGUUUUCAUCAUCCAUAUGCAGAAUAAUGAGAGUUCUCCAGAAUUGGCAAGCAGUUCAUUAAAAAGAAGAAAUUAUUGUAUAUUUUUCACCUUACACACAUGGUAAUUUUAUUAUGAUUUAUACUUUUCCAUUACUUACUACUGGUUGCAUGACCUGGAAUUGCAUGAUCAAAAAUCAGUCACAUUACUGUGAGGUAAGGACCUGGAGCUAGAUUUUGUAGCUGUAUAUGAAUGUGUGUAGUCUCAUUUUGGAAGUGGCUUAAGAGUGACUUUAGUUGUGUGCAUUAGGGUUGUACUUCACAGGGUGCACGGGUUCUUACAAUCCAGUGUUUGGAAUGAAGUCUGACUUUCAAUGUUGCACAGCUAUAGUAUGAUCUGGAACUUACAAGAUUUUAGAAUUUUGGAUUUUCUAAAAUUUUGCUUUUCCAAUAUUCAUUUCUCUCCUUUGGGUAAUAGUACCUCAAUACCUCAGUAUUCCUUUGAAGAUUCCUUUACCAGAUUCAUGUAGUAAGUGUGGGGCACAGCUUUCCCUUUGUUCCAGAUGUGGCCUCAUUACUGUUACCUUAACCAUUGGCUCCAGUGAUAAUCAUGUGGCUCUAUUCAGGAACUCUCUUCUUCUACCCUUCUAACCUCUGAGAUCAGAGGUAAAUUUGGAGCAUUUCUCAGCAGUCUUGGUGCCAUGAAGAAGAACCUGGAUGAAAAGAAAACAAAUCUGAGGAAUUCAGACUAAUGAAAUAAAGCUCAAAGUCCACAGUCAGCUGGCUCCAAAGCAGGGAACAUCACAGAGGAGAAACAGUCCAUGGCAAAGCAGGGCAGACAGAAGGCAGCAAAGCAGUGAAGCAACAGCAGCAGGCCAAGUAGCAACCAAAGUAGCAAGUGAUGACAGCAGCCCGGAACCACUGAGAGAGAGAAAUUGUAUGACCUUGAGAAUUUUAGCAACUGACAUCUAGAUGGCAGAGGCAGGAUGCAAAAAUCAAAAGAAAAAAAUGCAACUUUAAACACUUUUCCAUGCUAACACCUAAGGCUUCUAGGACUCAGCUUCUGAGUUUGGCUGAAGAGGUGGGUAGUAAUGGUAACCUGCUUACAGUGUGCAAGAAUUUUAGGAGACAAAGCCUGUGAAGAGCUUCGUCCCAUCCCUGGCCCAGGAUGAACAUUCAUCAGAGCUGACACUGAUGAGAAUUUGGGCUCGGCCAAGGUCCUGCAUGUCUGAGGCAGCUCCUCGAGUGUGACUUGGGGCUCCUGGAGGCUCCCACGGUUCUGCAGUGAAGACUGGAGAGCAGCAGGCAUCUUAGCUCUCAAAUGUAGCACCACUUAAGAGAUGGGUUUGAUUUCCCUGAAACUGUUUGGACCUAUUUGUAUAAAAUUUUAUAUGGAAUAGAUAGUGUGAGAUUUUUAAGUAAUUAUUUUGUGGUGACUUAAAAAAUUAGUUUUCAAAUAGAG
This is a long non-coding RNA of Heterocephalus glaber (naked mole-rat), 3440 nucleotides long. NCBI's taxonomy places the organism in Eukaryota, Metazoa, Chordata, Mammalia, Rodentia, Bathyergidae. The record is from Ensembl.